CAGGAACUAUGUUUGGGGAUUUGGUGACAUGGGAUUGAGCCCUAUCUGACUGAGAAAGUCCAGCACGGUUUGCAGGGAGCCUGGGACUUAGAGAAUGGAGACUCCACAGAAGACUUCUGCAUCCUUCAACUUAAUCUUCUGUCCGUGAUCCCAUGGGAAGACAGGGCUGCCGGGAAGCAGUGUGUUAUUUAGGAAGCCCUGGCCUUGUAGCAGAACACCCGGCUUCAGAUAGGCUUUUCCUUCCCACCUGAAAUACACGGUGAGCAUGGACUUCGUGAGGAGGUUUGAGCGGCAGUGUGGAUCCCAGGCCAGCGUAAAGCGACUGCGAGCCCAUCCUGCCUACCACAGCUUCAGCAACAAGUGGAACUUGCCUGUCUACUUCCAGAUAAGGUUCAGAGAAGUGGCAGGAUCCUUAGAAGCAUCCCUCACAGAUGGGCUAGAAGACGCCCCAGCUGGAAGUCCGUAUUGCCUUCUGGCUUCUCACAGAACAUGGAUCAGUCUGAGCAAAUGCUGGUCCGAUGAGAUGUUCCUGCCUUUGUUGGCACAUCGUCUGUGGAGGCUCACGCUGCAGAUUCUGGCCCGAUUCUCUGUGUUUGUCAGUGAGCUUUCUGUCAGGCCCAUCUCUAAUGAAACUGCCAAGGAGACUAAAAAGCCUUUGGCAGGCAGCAAAGACCCUUCGGACG
Molecule: long non-coding RNA, 683 nt
Filed under: Rattus norvegicus (Norway rat)
Lineage: Eukaryota; Metazoa; Chordata; Mammalia; Rodentia; Muridae
Description: long non-coding RNA NONRATT014398
Source: RNAcentral